Molecule: long non-coding RNA, 731 nt
Filed under: Manihot esculenta (cassava)
Lineage: Eukaryota; Viridiplantae; Streptophyta; Magnoliopsida; Malpighiales; Euphorbiaceae
Description: long non-coding RNA (MESC_LNC004461)
Source: RNAcentral
UCCAAAUUAAUAAAAAUUAUUUUAAAUUAAAUAGUCAUUUAAUUUAUAGACUGAAAAUAAAUUUAAAUUAAUUUUUCAGCCCAAAAUGACUUUCUUGAAACUUCUAAAAACGUUUUAGGUACCAAAUCGUAAUUUAGCAAACUCAUCUUCUUCCCUUAGAGGAAGUCUGGGCGUCGUAUGAAGUUUCUGCUGUGCCAUUGACCAGUCCAGCCACCGGAGGGACGCACAACACUUGCGCUCCUGCCGGUGGCCUGUCAGCUGCAAUCGCGCGCAAGAUUGACGGCAUCGCAAAGGAAGCCGCGAUCUACCGCAAUGUACAGUAGCUUCAUCCCGCAACGUCGUAACAAUCGCUAUCCUUCAGCUCCCGUCACUGUUCGUCGACCCGCAGAUAGCGCAACGGUUGCGCAUCCGCUGCCAACCAAAGCAGCGCCGGAAACUCCUUCGUCUUCUUCGUUGACGAGAAUCGAGACGGAGAAUGAUUUCUGCUCUCGGUUCCACCGGCAAUGAAAAUGACCAGCGCCUCGGUUCCAGCUUUCCUGCGAUGUCGAGGAUGCCCAGCGCCUAUCUCAGUAGCCAUAGAUGUUGCAGCUGCACACGGCACGCGUGCAUCGCUGGUCGCAGGGAUGCGACGCCCAUCGUCGGACCAUCGAGCUGUCGUCCGGCAUUCCAGCAGCUGCAGAUCGUGUUCUAGGAUUUCCGAAAAUCGAUGAUUUCUAUGUUUUUAAUAAAAA